UUGUCCCUAAAUAUCCCUAAUUUAGGUCUCUAUGUAAGAGAAUAAACCUAGUUGAGACUAAACAUAAGACAAUGACCUUAAUCGCGUUUAAUCUUUAUACAAAAUGAUGAUAAAACAUAGAAAAAAGCUAAAUGCUAUCUCAAAUUAGACUGAAAUUCCAUCAUAUCCUGAGUUCGAAUCCUUCCUUUAUUUAAAUCAAUAUCUUGAUUACCAUUAAUCACCGAUCAUGAACUUUCACAAAUAAAAGUGUAAGAAAGCGAAUGAGAAUGAGAGUGAAUGUGAGUAAUACUGAGUGAAAAGGGGAAAACACCAGGAUUUAAAGUUCCAAAAGAGGCCUCAAUGGUCAAUUUGAGUAUUCGGGUUUCUCUUGAGCCGAUUUAGAUUGGUAUCGAUCAAAUUUUGUCCGAUACAACAUGAGUUUUCAAGGUACUGAACGACAUAUCAUCCAUACUUUGCUGAUACCUCACGUGAUUCUUGCAUACCAUCUAAAACAGGCUUAUCACUUUCCAAUCAGUGGGCAAACCAGUACAGCUCGUUUCAUGUUAUUUUGGAUGGUAUGCCAUGCAAUGCAUCAAAUCUUGAUUGCAUAUACUGUUUGAUUUUCACUUUUCCAUUUAAUCUUUAUUCAUCAGUGAAAUAUCAUAUUCCUCUACUGUUGUAUACUUUAAUCACACAAAAAACAGAGAAAGACUCCAAUUUUUCCUUUUGCUCUGACAAACACAGAAACAGAAGGAUGAGGUGAUUCAGAAGUUUUUUCGGGAACAGAGUAUUAUUAGAACAAAACUUUAAGCAUCCUUCCAAAAAGCCACUACUCCUGGGUGGUGGAGCAGCAUAUUGAGGUGGUGCUAUUGCAGGAAGCCCAUGGUGAUACGAAGUGGAAAACUCAGAGCUCAAAGUGCCAAAUCAAUGAAGUUGAAGGAUGGUUACAUGAUUUCUUCUAGUCAGCCUAUCCAUGAAUACAGAGGUUUUGCUGUGAGGCAUCUUCUCCUCAGACAGGCUAUUCUGACACCAGAUGAGUAAACCACACUGACUCACACAAUCAAGCUGGUAUUGUCUACAAUGGCGGUUUGGUGCCUCUUCUUAAACUUCUUGACUCGAAAAAUGGAUGCUUGCAACAUAAUGCUGCAUUUGCUCUUUAUGGUAUUGCAGAGAAUGAGGAUAAUGUUUCUGAUUUUAUCAAGGUAGGAGGUGUUCAGAAGCUACAAGAUAGUGAAUUCAUUAACCAGGCAACUAAGGACUGUGUAGCAAAGACAAUAAAGAGAUUAGAGGAGAAGAUUAAUGGGCGAGUACUAAAUCAUUUAUUAUAUCUGAUGCGAGUUGGGGAGAAGGCUGUCCAAAGACGUAUAGCUUUGGCUCUUGCUCAUUUAUGUUCACCUGAGGAUCAAAGAACUAUUUUCAUCGAUGAUGAUGGUAUUGUAUCUGUCCAGCAACCAUGACAUCCUUCUGCUUUUCCUCCUUUUUAUAACUAAGGAAAUUAAGAAACAUAUUCUCAAUGUAGGACUUGAUUUUCUCCUCGAACUACUGGGAUCGAUUAAUCUAAAACAAUAGCAAGAUGCAUCAGUUGCUCUUUACAAGUUGGCUAAAAAAUCCCUGACUCUCUAUUCUGUUGAUGCAGCUUCUCUAUCUCCCUCAUCUCAGGUUUGCUAAAAUAGGCAUUCCUUAAUUUUGUUUCUAAGCACUUUUAGCAGUAAAACAUGUCCCAUAUUCACAGAAAUACAAAAACUUAUAAAAGGGUCAGAUUUUCAAUUCUUGGAGCUAGUUACUUGGAAUUUGAAAGUGCUUAUGUAAUUGCUUUGGCUAGUCUUCUAACUCAAAGUUUUUUUGAAUUGUCUGUCUUGACUCUUGAGACUGAUCAAACAUAAAUAUUACUUGAUCAGUAUAAACCUUUUUUCUAAUCGGAGAAUGAAAAUUGUUUUAUAGUUUUUUUAAUUCUUAUGGACAUAUUUUAAAAUUUAAUUUUUUUAAAAUUUCUGAAUAAAGCAUGACAUCAUUAGUUCUACAACUUAUUAUGUCUGAGGAGUGAUGCACUUGUCAGGGACAAGAAUAUGCUCUAUGUUGUGAAAUUUGUUUUUGUUUUGGAUUUUGCUGCAAGAAGCAUUAGUAAAUCCAUCCACUGUCUAACAUAGCACUAUGUCCAAUGCGUGGAAGUUUGAUGAAAACCUGUCAUGUGAACGGGCAGUUACUAUGCAUAGCUGCACAUAAGAGGAAAAGUCUGGGUUCUGCAAUCAUGGUAUUAUAAAUUCGUGAGACUUCACAAUGACAUAUGUAUUAAUCAAUAUUCACUUUUUUUUUUUGCAAUCAUAUGUAUUAAUCAUGUUUUGCAUAUGUAUUGAUGAUUGCUUUAAUAGGGCUUGGUUUCC
Non-coding RNA from Musa acuminata subsp. malaccensis (wild Malaysian banana), 2360 nucleotides. The record is from RefSeq and is a predicted model, not a curated record. Lineage: Eukaryota; Viridiplantae; Streptophyta; Magnoliopsida; Zingiberales; Musaceae.